RNAcentral lists this ribosomal RNA (1158 nucleotides) under Celaenia calotoides. Its description in RNAcentral is "SSU rRNA". It matches the Rfam family "Eukaryotic small subunit ribosomal RNA", at positions 622 to 1803 of the family's 1831-position model. Lineage: Eukaryota; Metazoa; Arthropoda; Arachnida; Araneae; Araneidae. The record is from RNAcentral.
AAAAGCUCGUAGUUGGAUCUCAGCUCCGGCCGGACGGUCUGCCAAACGGCGGUCACUGUCCGCAGCCGAGCGUUCGGGCGGUUAUUCUUGAUGAUCUUCACCGGUUGUCUCGGGUGACCGCCAAGUUUACUUUGAAAAAAUUAGAGUGCUCAAAGCAGGCGCGACGCCUGAAUAAUUGUGCAUGGAAUAAUGGAAUAGGACCUCUGUUCUAUUUUGUUGGUUUUCGGAACACGAGGUAAUGAUUAAGAGGGACAGACGGGGGCAUUCGUAUUGCGACGCUAGAGGUGAAAUUCUUGGACCGUCGCAAGACGAACUACUGCGAAAGCAUUUGCCAAGAAUGUUUCCAUUAAUCAAGAACGAAAGUUAGAGGUCCGAAGGCGAUCAGAUACCGCCCUAGUUCUAACCAUAAACGAUGCCAGCCAGCGAUCCGGCUGUGUUCCUCAAAUGACACGCCGGGCAGCUUCCGGGAAACCAAAGCGUUUGGGUUCCGGGGGAAGUAUGGUUGCAAAGCUUAAACUUAAAGGAAUUGACGGAAGGGCACCACCAGGAUUGGAGCCUGCGGCUUAAUUUGACUCAACACGGGGCAACCUACCCGGUCCGGACUCAAAAAGGAUUGACAGAUUGAGAGCUCUUUCUUGAUUUUGUGGGUGGUGGUGCAUGGCCGUUCUUAGUUGGUGGGGCGACUUGUCUGGUUAAUUCCGAUAACGAACGAGACUCCAGCCUGCUAAAUAGACGUUCCCAUCUUCUGCGUGGGACGGUCUUCUUAGAGGGACUAGCGGCGUCUAGCCGCACGAGACAGAGCAAUAACAGGUCUUGGAUGCCCUUAGAUGUCCGGGGCCGCACGCGCGCUACAUUGAAGGAAUCAGCGUGUGCUUUCCCUGUCCGAGAGGACUGGGUAACCCGUUGAAACUCCUUCGUGCUGGGGAUUGGCGGAUGUAAUUGACGCCAUGAACGAGGAAUUCCCAGUAAGCACGAGUCAUCAGCUCGUGUUGAUUACGUCCCUGCCCUUUGUGCACACCGCCCGUCGCUACUAUCGAUUGAAUGAUUUAGUGAGGUCUUCGGACUGGCGCUCGGAUUGGCCUCCGAGGUCGAGCCGACGUGCCGGAAAGAUGACCGAACUUGAUCACUUAGAGAAAGUAAAAGUCGUAACAAGGUUUC